ACGGUCUGAAAGUCACCGCUGGCCUCCUGUGGCCCCUGGUGAGAUAACUGUGCCCACAGCAUAGGGAGCAUUAAGCUUAUUGCCCACGAUACUGGUGUGUGGGGAGUGAAACCCAUGUUCCCAUAACU
Molecule: small nucleolar RNA, 128 nt
Organism: Apteryx haastii (Great spotted kiwi)
Lineage: Eukaryota; Metazoa; Chordata; Aves; Apterygiformes; Apterygidae
Source: Ensembl